RNAcentral lists this non-coding RNA (24 nucleotides) under Arabidopsis thaliana (thale cress). Lineage: Eukaryota; Viridiplantae; Streptophyta; Magnoliopsida; Brassicales; Brassicaceae. The record is from RNAcentral.
AAGGAUGUAGCGGUAUUGAUCUGU